AGUCGAGGGGCAGCAUGAACUUAGCUUGCUAAGUUUGAUGGCGACCGGCGCACGGGUGAGUAACACGUAUCCAACCUGCCGAUGACUCGGGGAUAGCCUUUCGAAAGAAAGAUUAAUACCCGAUGGCAUAAUUCUUCCGCAUGGUAGAAUUAUUAAAGAAUUUCGGUCAUCGAUGGGGAUGCGUUCCAUUAGGUUGUUGGCGGGGUAACGGCCCACCAAGCCUUCGAUGGAUAGGGGUUCUGAGAGGAAGGUCCCCCACAUUGGAACUGAGACACGGUCCAAACUCCUACGGGAGGCAGCAGUGAGGAAUAUUGGUCAAUGGACGAGAGUCUGAACCAGCCAAGUAGCGUGAAGGAUGACUGCCCUAUGGGUUGUAAACUUCUUUUAUACGGGAAUAAAGUGAGGCACGUGUGCCUUUUUGUAUGUACCGUAUGAAUAAGGAUCGGCUAACUCCGUGCCAGCAGCCGCGGUAAUACGGAGGAUCCGAGCGUUAUCCGGAUUUAUUGGGUUUAAAGGGAGCGUAGGCGGACGCUUAAGUCAGUUGUGAAAGUUUGCGGCUCAACCGUAAAAUUGCAGUUGAUACUGGGUGUCUUGAGUACAGUAGAGGCAGGCGGAAUUCGUGGUGUAGCGGUGAAAUGCUUAGAUAUCACGAAGAACUCCGAUUGCGAAGGCAGCCUGCUGGACUGUAACUGACGCUGAUGCUCGAAAGUGUGGGUAUCAAACAGGAUUAGAUACCCUGGUAGUCCACACAGUAAACGAUGAAUACUCGCUGUUUGCGAUAUACAGUAAGCGGCCAAG
This 798-nucleotide ribosomal RNA is filed under the name uncultured bacterium. RNAcentral describes it as "bacterial SSU rRNA". It matches the Rfam family "Bacterial small subunit ribosomal RNA", at positions 60 to 851 of the family's 1533-position model. The record is from RNAcentral.